Long non-coding RNA from Coffea eugenioides, 303 nucleotides. RefSeq lists it as uncharacterized. NCBI's taxonomy places the organism in Eukaryota, Viridiplantae, Streptophyta, Magnoliopsida, Gentianales, Rubiaceae. The transcript is spliced from 2 exons. The record is from RefSeq and is a predicted model, not a curated record.
UGGCUGCUUCUGAGUUUUAUGGUAAAGACAAGACUUAUGAUCUAAACUUCAAAGAAGAGAAUAAUGAUGGCUCACAAAAGAUAUCAGGUUAUGACUGAAGGCUCUCAUUUCAUUGGAAAGUUUGGAAGCUACUGCAAGUUCUUUCUACUUGCUAGGGAUGAGAAUAUUUUAGUUUGUGCACAAGAGAAUCUUUUAAGUUUGUGCACAUGAGAAUCUUUCAAGUUUGUAUUUGUUAGGGAUUUGUUAUGUUAGUACUUGUUACUGACUUUUAGUUCAACAAAUUAUAUUUGAGUAUUGACUUUU